ACACAUAGACAGACAGGACACCCACAGAGACACAUACACAGAGAAAGCAGCCAUGAAACCCACUAACCUUCUAGCCCUCGCCGCACACACACGCACGCACACGCACACGCACACACACACACGCACACACACGCACGCACACACACGCACGCACACACACACACGCACGCACGCACCUCUCUCUAAACCUCAAUCUGGGCUGAACGGUUACAGAAGCAGAUAUCGCAUCAGGAAAUCACAGUGUCAUUAAAAGGAGGCCAAAACAGGACAAAGAGACAGAUAAACGAACAAGCAUGGCACAUCCAGACACGGUUAGGUUAGACUAGUGCAGUCAGCCACAGUGAGUCCUAGUUCCUGCCAUCUCCCUUCCUGAAACAUGAACACAGCUAGGCAACACAUACAGCUUGCCCUGGGGCUCACAUAGAGAGAAGGGGGGAGAGAAACUGAGAAAGGGGAAGAAGCAAUGCAGAGCAAGUGAAAAAAGACAGAUAGAAAGUGUGUAGAGGGCAGAGAAAAGGAGAGGUAGCAGAAAGAGAAAAGGAGAGGUAGCAGAAAGAGAAAAGGAGAGGUAGCAGAAAGAGAAAAGGAGAGGUAGCAGAAAGAGAAAAGGAGAGGUAGCAGAAAGAGAAAAGGAGAGGUAGCAGAAAGAGAAAAGGAGAGGUAGCAGAAAGAGAAAAUGAGAGGUAGCAGAAAGAGAAAAUGAGAGGUAGCAGAAAGAGGGGGCAGAGAAAAGGAGAGGUAGCAGAAAGAGAAAAGGAGAGGUAGCAGAAAGAGAAAAGGAGAGGUAGCAGAAAGAGAAAAGGAGAGGUAGCAGAAAGAGAAAAGGAGAGGUAGCAGAAAGAGAAAAGGAGAGGUAGCAGAAAGAGAAAAUGAGAGGUAGCAGAAAGAGAAAAUGAGAGGUAGCAGAAAGAGGGGGCAGAGAAAAGGAGAGGUAGCAGAAAGAGAAAAGGAGGGGUAGCAGAAAGAGAAAAGGAGAGGUAGCAGAAAGAGAGGGCAGAGAAAAGGAGAGGUAGCAGAAAGAGAGGGCAGAGAAAAGGAGAGGUAGCAGAAAGAGGGGGCAGAGAAAAGGAGAGGUAGCAGAAAGAGGGGGCAGAGAAAAGGAGAGGUAGCAGAAAGAGAAAAGGAGGGGUAGCAGAAAGAGAAAAGGAGAGGUAGCAGAAAGAGAGGGCAGAGAAAAGGAGAGGUAGCAGAAAGAGAGGGCAGAGAAAAGGAGAGGUAGCAGAAAGAGGGGGCAGAGAAAAGGAGAGGUAGCAGAAAGAGGGGGCAGAGAAAAGGAGAGGUAGCAGAAAGAGAAAAGGAGGGGUAGCAGAAAGAGAAAAGGAGAGGUAGCAGAAAGAGAGGGCAGAGAAAAUGAGAGGUAGCAGAAAGAGAAAAGGAGGGGUAGCAGAAAGAGAAAAGGAGAGGUAGCAGAAAGAGGGGGCAGAGAAAAGGAGAGGUAGCAGAAAGAGGGGGCAGAGAAAAGGAGAGGUAGCAGAAAGAGAAAAGGAGGGGUAGCAGAAAGAGAAAAGGAGAGGUAGCAGAAAGAGAGGGCAGAGAAAAGGAGAGGUAGCAGAAAGAGAGGGCAGAGAAAAGGAGAGGUAGCAGAAAGAGGGGGCAGAGAAAAGGAGAGGUAGCAGAAAGAGGGGGCAGAGAAAAGGAGAGGUAGCAGAAAGAGGGGGCAGAGAAAAGGAGAGGUAGCAGAAAGAGAAAAGGAGGGGUAGCAGAAAGAGAAAAGGAGAGGUAGCAGAAAGAGAGGGCAGAGAAAAUGAGAGGUAGCAGAAAGAGGGGGCAGAGAAAAGGAGAGAUAGCAGAAAGAGAGGGCAGAGAAAAGGAGAGGUAGCAGAAAGAGAAAAGGAGGGGUAGCAGAAAGAGAAAAGGAGAGGUAGCAGAAAGAGGGGGCAGAGAAAAGGAGAGGUAGCAGAAAGAGAAAAGGAGGGGUAGCAGAAAGAGAAAAGGAGAGAUAGCAGAAAGAGAGGGCAGAGAAAAUGAGAGGUAGCAGAAAGAGAAAAGGAGGGGUAGCAGAAAGAGAAAAGGAGAGGUAGCAGAAAGAGGGGGCAGAGAAAAGGAGAGGU
Molecule: long non-coding RNA, 2051 nt
Organism: Oncorhynchus keta (chum salmon)
Lineage: Eukaryota; Metazoa; Chordata; Actinopteri; Salmoniformes; Salmonidae
Exons: 11
Source: RefSeq, a predicted model, not a curated record